This 1462-nucleotide ribosomal RNA is filed under the name uncultured bacterium. RNAcentral's name for it is "bacterial SSU rRNA". It matches the Rfam family "Bacterial small subunit ribosomal RNA". The record is from RNAcentral.
UUGAACGCUGGCGGCAGGCCUAACACAUGCAAGUCGAGCGGUAGCACAGAGAGCUUGCUCUCGGGUGACGAGCGGCGGACGGGUGAGUAAUGUCUGGGAAACUGCCUGAUGGAGGGGGAUAACUACUGGAAACGGUAGCUAAUACCGCAUAAUGUCGCAAGACCAAAGUGGGGGACCUUCGGGCCUCAUGCCAUCAGAUGUGCCCAGAUGGGAUUAGCUAGUAGGUGGGGUAACGGCUCACCUAGGCGACGAUCCCUAGCUGGUCUGAGAGGAUGACCAGCCACACUGGAACUGAGACACGGUCCAGACUCCUACGGGAGGCAGCAGUGGGGAAUAUUGCACAAUGGGCGCAAGCCUGAUGCAGCCAUGCCGCGUGUGUGAAGAAGGCCUUCGGGUUGUAAAGCACUUUCAGCGGGGAGGAAGGCGGUGAGGUUAAUAACCUCAUCGAUUGACGUUACCCGCAGAAGAAGCACCGGCUAACUCCGUGCCAGCAGCCGCGGUAAUACGGAGGGUGCAAGCGUUAAUCGGAAUUACUGGGCGUAAAGCGCACGCAGGCGGUCUGUCAAGUCGGAUGUGAAAUCCCCGGGCUCAACCUGGGAACUGCAUUCGAAACUGGCAGGCUAGAGUCUUGUAGAGGGGGGUAGAAUUCCAGGUGUAGCGGUGAAAUGCGUAGAGAUCUGGAGGAAUACCGGUGGCGAAGGCGGCCCCCUGGACAAAGACUGACGCUCAGGUGCGAAAGCGUGGGGAGCAAACAGGAUUAGAUACCCUGGUAGUCCACGCCGUAAACGAUGUCGAUUUAGAGGUUGUGCCCUUGAGGCGUGGCUUCCGGAGCUAACGCGUUAAAUCGACCGCCUGGGGAGUACGGCCGCAAGGUUAAAACUCAAAUGAAUUGACGGGGGCCCGCACAAGCGGUGGAGCAUGUGGUUUAAUUCGAUGCAACGCGAAGAACCUUACCUGGUCUUGACAUCCACAGAACUUUCCAGAGAUGGAUUGGUGCCUUCGGGAACUGUGAGACAGGUGCUGCAUGGCUGUCGUCAGCUCGUGUUGUGAAAUGUUGGGUUAAGUCCCGCAACGAGCGCAACCCUUAUCCUUUGUUGCCAGCGGUUAGGCCGGGAACUCAAAGGAGACUGCCAGUGAUAAACUGGAGGAAGGUGGGGAUGACGUCAAGUCAUCAUGGCCCUUACGACCAGGGCUACACACGUGCUACAAUGGCAUAUACAAAGAGAAGCGACCUCGCGAGAGCAAGCGGACCUCAUAAAGUAUGUCGUAGUCCGGAUUGGAGUCUGCAACUCGACUCCAUGAAGUCGGAAUCGCUAGUAAUCGUAGAUCAGAAUGCUACGGUGAAUACGUUCCCGGGCCUUGUACACACCGCCCGUCACACCAUGGGAGUGGGUUGCAAAAGAAGUAGGUAGCUUAACCUUCGGGAGGGCGCUUACCACUUUGUGAUUCAUGACUGGGGUGA